CUUUUCCUUCCCUUUCUUCCCUCCUCCUCCAUCAUCCUCUCCCAUUGCUUCUUUGAUAGCUUUAGCUCUCUUCUUUCCAAGAGGAGUCUUGUUAAACCAAGCCUACAUUAACAAAAAAGAUUAUUUUUAGUAACAAGGUUCUCAGUAUUAAUUUGCAUCAACACUGUUUGAGACCUCCCUCAAUGACGUUUAAAGAACUGCUCAGAAAUUCAAAAGAACUUUCAGAAAAAAGAAAUGAAGCAUAUGAAAAACAGCUAUUAAUGUAUCAGCAACAAGUUAGUGAAGCAGUCCAAGAGAACAAAGUAGCCAGAAGGAAUAUAAGAAAUGAGACACAGAAGCUCCUAAAGCAGAGGAAUGAGGUGACAAUAGAGGCAGAGAAGAUAA
Amphimedon queenslandica is the source of this 384-nucleotide long non-coding RNA. RefSeq lists it as uncharacterized. Lineage: Eukaryota; Metazoa; Porifera; Demospongiae; Haplosclerida; Niphatidae. The transcript has 5 exons. The record is from RefSeq and is a predicted model, not a curated record.